AGGUUAGAUAGCAUUUUUAACACCUUUGACAUGAAGAUUUAAGACAUUUUAAGAUUAAUUAGGACCUUAUCUUUAUACUAUAAAAUUUAAGACUUUUUAAAGAUUCUACUAGUUACCCUGCAGAAACUGCAGUUAAACUUAAUAGGUACAUUUUUAGCGCUUUCACAAAAAUGUAGACUGAAGCAUGUACUUCCUGUGUUGAAGAAAAUAGACUUUACAGAAAAGAAAGAGGAGUUCUUCAACGUGAAAGUGGUGCACUCGGCUUAGCUCAACUCAACCCAGGUUACCAGCCAUCCCUGUUCCCUUGGACAGGCAAGACCUCUGACGUGCCCGCAGUAGACCACUGGUUCUGAGAGAGCAAAAGGGUGUGGGACUCAGCACAUGUCCAUCUCCAGCAGGCAGUACGGAGGUAUACCGACGCCGCCACUCGCUACAGGUUACCUAACCCCAAUUACAACCCUGGAGACAAGAACCAGAACCGCCUCCCCCUCCAGAACCAGCCAAGUCCUCAGCGACAACAUCUGUCAGGUCAAAAAAUCUCGACUCCCAACGGUGGGACGGUCAACUCCAGUACCUGAUCAAUUCGGUCCCGAGGAGAGAUCAUGGGCUUCCCACACUGACAACUUAGAUCCUACCUUCCUCCUAAAGAGUUUCACCACAGAUAUCAAGACCAUCCUGCUCCCCGACCUCGAGGCCGUCCCUGCCUCAAAUCAAUGGGUGCCUGGAGUCACCCAUGGAGGCAGGGAGGCGGGGGGAUACUCUCACACCCUUUACUCCUUCCCGCAGUCCCAACCACCUUAAUCAUUCACCAAUCACCACACACCACACACGUGAACCAUCACCAGAAUACUAAUAGCCCACACCU
This 865-nucleotide long non-coding RNA is filed under the name Danio rerio (zebrafish). RNAcentral's name for it is "si:dkey-96j22.4 (ENSDARG00000096817.2)". Lineage: Eukaryota; Metazoa; Chordata; Actinopteri; Cypriniformes; Danionidae. The record is from RNAcentral.